RNAcentral lists this ribosomal RNA (491 nucleotides) under uncultured bacterium. RNAcentral's name for it is "partial 16S ribosomal RNA". It matches the Rfam family "Bacterial small subunit ribosomal RNA", at positions 29 to 507 of the family's 1533-position model. The record is from RNAcentral.
AGUGAACGCUGGCGGUAGGCCUAACACAUGCAAGUCGAACGGCAGCACAGUAAGAGCUUGCUCUUACGGGUGGCGAGUGGCGGACGGGUGAGGAAUACAUCGGAAUCUACUUUUUCGUGGGGGAUAACGUAGGGAAACUUACGCUAAUACCGCAUACGACCUACGGGUGAAAGUAGGGGAUCUUCGGACCUUGCGCGAUUGAAUGAGCCGAUGUCGGAUUAGCUAGUUGGCGGGGUAAGGCCCACCAAGGCGACGAUCCGUAGCUGGUCUGAGAGGAUGAUCAGCCACACUGGAACUGAGACACGGUCCAGACUCCUACGGGAGGCAGCAGUGGGGAAUAUUGGACAAUGGGCGCAAGCCUGAUCCAGCCAUACCGCGUGGGUGAAGAAGGCCUUCGGGUUGUAAAGCCCUUUUGUUGGGAAAGAAAAGCAGCAGGUUAAUACCCCGCUGUUCUGACGGUACCCAAAGAAUAAGCACCGGCUAACUUCGUG